UGGGGAAUAUUGCACAAUGGGCGCAAGCCUGAUGCAGCGACGCCGCGUGAGGGAUGGAGGCCUUCGGGUUGUAAACCUCUUUCGCCAGUGAAGCAGGCCAUCUUCUUUGUGGGGUGGUUGACGGUAGCUGGAUAAGAAGCGCCGGCUAACUACGUGCCAGCAGCCGCGGUAAUACGUAGGGCGCGAGCGUUGUCCGGAAUUAUUGGGCGUAAAGAGCUCGUAGGCGGCUGGUCGCGUCUGUCGUGAAAUCCCCUAGCUUAACUGGGGGCUUGCGGUGGGUACGGGCCGGCUUGAGUGCGGUAGGGGAGACUGGAAUUCCUGGUGUAGCGGUGGAAUGCGCAGAUAUCAGGAGGAACACCGGUGGCGAAGGCGGGUCUCUGGGCCGUUACUGACGCUGAGGAGCGAAAGCGUGGGGAGCGAACAGG
This 425-nucleotide ribosomal RNA is filed under the name bacterium. Its description in RNAcentral is "partial 16S ribosomal RNA". It matches the Rfam family "Bacterial small subunit ribosomal RNA", at positions 355 to 776 of the family's 1533-position model. The record is from RNAcentral.